AUUGAACGCUGGCGGCAGGCCUAACACAUGCAAGUCGAACGAGUGGCGGACGGGUGAGUAGUGUCUGGGAAACUGCCUGAUGGAGGGGGCUAACUACUGGAAACGGUAGCUAAUACUGCAUACCAUCAGAUGUGCCCUGGUGGGAUGAGCUAGUGGGUGGGGUAACGGCUCACCAAGGCGACGAUCCCUAGCUGGUCUGAGAGGAUGACCAGCCACACUGGAACUGAGACACGGUCCAGACUCCUACGGGAGGCAGCAGUGGGGAAUAUUGCACAAUGGGCGCAAGCCUGAUGCAGCCAUGCCGCGUGUAUGAAGAAGGCCUUCGGGUUGUAAAGUACUUUCAGCGGGGAGGCGUUACCCGCAGAAGAAGCACCGGCUAACUCCGUGCCAGCCGCCGCGGUAAUAC
Molecule: ribosomal RNA, 406 nt
Filed under: uncultured bacterium
Lineage: Bacteria
Description: partial 16S ribosomal RNA
Rfam family: Bacterial small subunit ribosomal RNA
Source: RNAcentral